UCUCACAAUUAAUCGACUUAACGGGAUG
Molecule: small RNA, 28 nt
Filed under: Bombyx mori (domestic silkworm)
Lineage: Eukaryota; Metazoa; Arthropoda; Insecta; Lepidoptera; Bombycidae
Description: ovarian small RNA-29567
Source: RNAcentral